This 220-nucleotide ribosomal RNA is filed under the name Modica myncea. Its description in RNAcentral is "Cissia myncea partial large subunit ribosomal RNA". The record is from RNAcentral. Lineage: Eukaryota; Metazoa; Arthropoda; Insecta; Lepidoptera; Nymphalidae.
GAGUUUUAUAUUUAAUUUUAUUUUGUAAUUUUAUAAAAAUUUAUAUUAAAAUAAAAUAAAAUAUUAUAUUGGGGUGAUAGAAAAAUUAAAUGAACUUUUUUUUAUAAAAGUAACAUGAAUAAAUGAUUAAUUGAUCCAUUAUUAAUGAUUAUAAGAAAAAAUUACCUUAGGGAUAACAGCGUAAUAUAUUUUUUUAGAACAAAUAAAAAAAAAUGAUUGC